CACUGAUUAUUAGUAUAACUCAACUAAGUACUUUCCAGGUUUCCUCAGAGUUUCCCAAACUUAAGACUCAUCUAGGGCGCUGAUUUUCCCAGGCUGCUUCUGCGAAAAGUUGCAUUCAAUGGGCCCCGGAAUCGAUUUCCCAAGCCCCGUGCUGGUAGGGUGAACUCAUUAUAUCGGAUCCUCCGUCAAGUUGUCUUUGUGAGGAAGGGAUUAAUAUUCCCAUUUUCUAGUUGAGGAGUCUGAGGCGCCGAGCAAUUCGCUCAAUCAGACACAGCUUUAAGGAAUAGGGGUGAUUAUCAAUGCGAAACUCUCUUCCCAGAGAAACCUCCUUACUGUGGCUUUUUAAAUUCCCUUUUCUAGUCUCCACCCGCCCCCGACCCCACCCCUCUGAGGGAGGGGUAACCCUGCCCUAGUCUUUCUGGCACCUGGGAUUGCUAGAUCCGGGAAAGACAUUUCUCCUUCGGCUUGGACUUUGAUACUCUGCUCUUGGAAGUAAUAAUAAGGCGCAGGAAAAUACGGGAAUCCAAAAAGAAAAACCCUUGUGCGCCCCCCCAAUAUCUAAAUAGUCAUAAAAAUCCACUCAUUUGCCAGUGAAUUCAAAAGCCAGUUUCUUAUUUUUAUUUUUCAGUUAACAUUUUUUUUACAGACCGUACCUGAAAUUCUUUUCUUUAAAAGAUGAAAUGUCUUUAUCUGCUGUUGCAAGUAAAGCAAUUAGGGAAAGUGCUGAGUUUAUUAUGAAAAUGAAAUAAUUGAGGUUCGGAGUGUGGGAGGCUUUCAGGAGGCCCAACCAUUGGGAAGCAUCAUCAUCACCAAAACACCUGCCCAUCAAAAAACACCCUCCUGCCUCGCAAAAUGCCAAAUCGCCAGUUUCUUUUGAACUACACACUUUACACCAAGAACCAUUUCCACCAGGAAAGUUUUCUUGACAUUUUACAAACCUCAAGAAUUGUCUUUAGAUUUCUGUAGAAUUUUAUUUUUGUGGUUCUUUCUUCAUGUUAAGUUCAUACUCGGUGGUUUUUUUUUUUUUUCCUUUCCCUCAGAGUUCUCACAUACUUUUUCAUUUAUUUUUAUCUUUGUAAGCCAUCUUAAAUCCUUUUCUGAACAAGGUGGGUUAUAAAUAAACAAAAAUUCUUACAUCAGUUAUGGUAUGUCUCAGAACGCCAAGCAUUUUUACUCGAAUGCCAAGUCCUCAAGUUACUUCUCCUGGUAAAUUUUAUAAAAUAAUUGGGACUUCGUGUAUUUUUGCAACAAUAUCUUAGUUCCUUGAAUUAUUAUUCAGUCACUUUUUGCUUAAAAAAUUUGUUGAACAUUUACUCUUUGAGAGUUUGACGACACAAUGGUUGGCAAAUACAAAAGGGUCCCUGAAUUUACAGGCUUCUUUGAGGAGAAAGUUAAGAGAUGUAAGGCACAUCAAUGACUUAAUAAUAGCUCUGGGAAGUGAAAGAAAAAGUGAUCCCUCAUUGAAAAUAUACACUGGUUAUAAGAUGCAUGCUGAUUAAGGAAAAUAAAAAAUAUCUGAAGCAAUAUGGCAAAAAGUACCUUUUAUUAGCUGCCCAUUAAUAACACCAGGUUCCAGGCAAACACAUAACAUAUAUGUUAUAUCUGUACAACAACUCUAUGACUUGGAAUUAUUUUUCCAAUUUUAUAAACAUAGGCUUAAUUGAGACUUACAGAGGUUAGGCCAUAAGUAGUGGAGAAAUCGAACACAUCUAGGCUGUAUUUGUAGGCUAUAUACUACAUAUUUAGCAGCCCUCAGAGUGAGGCAUUCAGGGAAAAAAGUAGGCAGGAAAAAUAACUAUAAGAAUUGAGGUAUGAAAAUCUGUUUACUGCCAAGGCCAUUCAAGUGUACAGUCCCAGUUAAUUUCCAUAUUUAUCUAUUCUAAAUAUGUAUUUGGAAUAUAUAUUUUUAUUUCUGGAUUUAUUCCAAAAUCACCCCCUCCAACUCUUAUUUGCUUGAUUUUUAGUAGAAAGCAAGGAUUGCUCCGUCCUUGACAGACUUUGUUUCAUUGCUCCACCCAUCCCUUCUACCCAGAAUGCACUGUGCUUACAAAAAGAGACAGUCUGAGAGAGUGGACACCUUCCUGCCCUUCUCCUCCUCUUCCUCCUUUUCCUCAUCCCCUUCCCCUUACAUCAUCAAGGAGAACACCAAUGGAGCAUUUAUGUGCCAGCUGUUAUUCCCAGCAUUCUACUUGUAAAAGCUCAUUUAACUAUCUCAGCUGCUACUUGAAGAGAGUGUUUUUAUCCCCACUCUAAGAAACUGAGAAAAAGGCCUUGAGUGAUUUACACCAAAGAAUCCAUAAGGCAGAGAGAAUUCCAGCUCAGUCUUCUCUAGGAAACAUCCUCUGCCCUGGAAUGCCUAUUAGGAAAAGUACACGGUGCUGGAAUUGCAAAGGUUUGUGCUCAGGGUGAAGCCUCAUCAGUGUAGCUUGUGGCUUUUUUGAGAAAACUCAACCUAUCUGAGCCUCAAUUUACCCAUCUGUAAACUGAGAAUUAUACCUAUCAGAAUUUAAUGUGGGUAUAUAUUUAAGGCACCUAGAAAAUAGGAGCCUCUCAAUAAAUUUAAUUCUAUUUUUUCUCCAAUAAUUUUUUAAGACUAGGUUGAAAUCUCACUUCCUGUGAAAGCCUUUCCAAAUCUCUGACACCCAGAAUUAUCUACACAACAGCAUUUAAAGUAAUCGUUCCAUUUUUCUAUAAAGGAAAAAUCCAACAUUACUUUUGCCAAACAUAAAAUUUUAGGGAUGUACAUAAAAUAGGCAUAUGUCUACUUAAAAUAUUUAAUUUUCCAUUUUAGAUAAAUAUUCAUAAAGUAAAAUUAUACAUACAUUAAUGUAUAUAUCCUGCCUUUUCCAGUCAUGUUUUAUAACAUAAUUUUAUGCAAAUCUCAAUAUGCAACUUUGACAUCAAUGAUUUUAUCACUAGAGCCUCAUUUUGAAUUAUCAGUGUUUUGUUUUUAAAGUAUAUUAUUCACACUUCUGUGUAAAUUUUUGAAGGUACUUAAUUUUAUGAAAACUCUUAUGACUCUGCCACUGGGAAUUUUAUUACAAAUUACAAGUUCCCAAUUGUUUUGCAUUAAGAAGUUGUUUUGGCUCAUUCAUCCCAAAUAUGCACAUUAAUGAUCUACACCGUUUUUUUGUUAAAUGGUUUUUAACAUGGGACGCUUAAAAUUGUGAGGUCAUACCCCCAUAAAUAGUUUGCUUAAUUUGUUUAAAAUAUCUUUACCUCCAUUUAAACCAAUUUCAUCAGAUGGCUCUGUAUGGAUCCCAAACUAGGAUUGAUUGAGGAUGUUUUAGAUUAACUGCCCACCCCCUACUCAAAUAGUUCAGUAGUUUGCAGUUCAUUUUUAUGUACUAUAAUUGAAGAGAAAUAGAGAUCCUGUGAUAUAGAGGUUCUAAGUAACAGGCAUUGCUACACAUUAUGAAAUCUUACUUCUCUCAACAAAGCUGGUGCAAAGGUAUUAUUUGGCUCUUUUGAGCCAGAGGAAAAAACCAAGACACAGAAAUUACAAGCAGUAAAUAAGAAAAAGCAUUUGAACUCAACUAAUGUAAAUUCAAAGUCUAUACCUUAAGCAUUCUGCUGUGAUGCCUCAGAGAAGACUUUUUAAAGUGUUGACCAAAAUCUUUUUCUGAUGCCUAAUUUUGGGAGGGAAAUGAUGUGCCUUAUGUCCACGCAUAUACCACACUCUCCCUUGGAUUUUUCCAUUGCCCCCCCCCCUUUUUUACCACUAUUGGAGUACUCUUGUCAGUAGGCUUUGCAUUCUGACUGUGGAGAAGUUUUUCUUGCUACUCUGUAUUCCUGAAGUACCAUUAGCUCUAUUGGAGUGCUUUUGUCAGACUGCCUUGCAUUAUGGGUACUUGGAAGCUUAAUAUUUGAAUUCUCUGAAGUGCUUAUCAUAAGGCCUUAUAGAUAAAUAAGCAUUUCAGAUUGUCUCCUCAAACUGGAAUGUUUAUAUUCAUUAGGCUGACUCUUUUUGGUACUUUGUUACAAGGUUCAGGAGUUGCUUUGAAAGUUGUUUUUUAACUCCUUCUCACCACAAGGGAAGAGCUCAGUGGAUAUCUACCUACCAUAAGGUAGGCAAAGGAAGAGUUUAAAAUAUUUGGUCAAUUAAUUUACCGGCCAAAAGUUGACGGUAAAAUGGAAAUCAUUUAUUUUAACCCUUCGUGGCUCAGCAGUUAACAAACCUGACUAGAAUCCAUGAGGAUGCAGGUUCAAUCCGUGGCCUCAGUGGAUUAAGGAUUCGGCAUUGCCAUGAGCUGUGGUGUAGGCCGCAGAGGUGGCAGAGGUGGCUCGGAUCCCACGUUGCUGUGGCUGUGGCACAGACCAGCAGCUAUAGCUCCAAUUCAAUCCCUAGUCCGGGAACUUCCAAAUGCCACAGGUGCGGCCCCAAAAAGCAAAUAAACAAAUAAAUAACAAAUAAUAAGUUUUCCAGAAACCACUAAAUAUCAAGAAAAAAUGAACAUACUUUUUGUAAAACUGAUAUUUCAGAAACUCGCUUAGGCAUUAGAGAUUAGAGUAUUUCAUUGAUAAUAACACACAAUAUUUUAACACUUUACAACUUCUGAAAUGGGGAUGCAUCUUAAAGUGAAUUGCUGUUGGCCAGGCAGGAGUCAGAGCAUACUUGUCAUUGCUAACAUGGUCAUGGACUUGAUGGUAGAUGUUUAUGUUGUCAUCAUUUUAAGAUACUUGCAUCGAUAGCACUACACAUGGUGAAUUUAAUUGUCACUUGAGAUGUCUUCAAAAAGAAUAUACUAAAGUUCUUUGUGAAAAGGCAAAGAAAUAGAUCUAUGUGAUAUUGAUAAAAAUCUAUGACUAAAUAAUUUUCAAAGCUCUCUCUGUCUCUAUCUCUCUCAAUGUAUAUGUGUAUAUAUAUAUAUAUAUAUACACACAUACACACAUAAUAAUAGUUCUAAAUUAAUUGUGUGUGUCAUAGUUUUUCUCAUGGUAUAGAAAAUAUUAAAGUAUCCAAAAAUAGAUUGUGUUUUAGAAUUGUAGACAUCUAGUAGUUUUUACUAUUGCUAACAUAAAAGUCUCAUUUUAUUUUUAUAUAAAGGAAUCAGUGUUAAGAGAAAUCCAGGAAACCUAUCACCCACUGGAUUUGCAGAUGAAAUAUUCAAUUGUGUAUAAAAUUAUUGCUUUUACUUUGUUGUGUCAAUUUUUCUCAUAGAUUUCUGAAAUUGAGUUUACUAAACACAUCACAAAAUUCCAUUUCUUUGUGUGUAGCUUGGUUUAUUCCCCUUUUUGCUAAAAAUGUUGCCCUUAUAAUAGGUAAU
RNAcentral lists this long non-coding RNA (5267 nucleotides) under Sus scrofa (pig). RNAcentral's name for it is "lncRNA (ENSSSCG00000054771.1)". The record is from RNAcentral. Lineage: Eukaryota; Metazoa; Chordata; Mammalia; Artiodactyla; Suidae.